AUGCCGUGGCCCUCGGCUGCCGCCGGACACCAGGAAUCGCAGCCGGGAGAGCGCAGGGGUCUGUUCUCGUGCUUGUUCAGCGAGUGCGACGCUCCCCCCUUGGACAAAUCGAAUUUGGACGCCGAUCUCCUGGAGCUCCUCCUCGACUUGCACGAGGAGGCUUUCGGCCGGCUGCCCGUCCAUGACAUGCCGGUGGAAGCCGCCGACCAGUUGGCCGUAUCCAUGCGCGAAGGCGGCCUCUGCCUCGGCCUCCUCGACCCCGUCACCAACAUCAUCCUCAACACCGUCGCCCUCCUCCCGCGCGACUUCGGGGACAUGGCAAAGCCCGACAGGAGGAGGUCCAAGAGGCUGGCCGCCGGCAGGGUGCAACCCAGUGACUACAGCAGCUGGAACACCAGCUGGGUUUUGCCAUCCUCCGGCAGGGUUACCUGUGGGCCGGCUACAUGGUACUCUAUUGCUGGGGCGUCCCGCCAGGCUCUCAUCAGAUUCAUGGUUGGCUCCUUCGGAUGCCUCAGCGAAGAAAAGGCCACCCGCUACCUCCACUGGGCACGCGCCGAUCUCGCCCUCGCAGUCCAGCUGGUCGAGCACGAUCUACACGCUGCUGCUGUUUCACCACCCGACCCUGCCUCUGAAAGGACGCAAGCCGCCUUCAAGUACGCCGCAAGCUGUGGGCGGCGGCACCCUGCGCCUGAUGACCUGGUGCGGCUCCAGGCGUCGCCCCUGCCCAAACAGUGCCUCCGCGACUCCGCCCCCUUGCUCGAGAAGGGAGGGCGCAAGCUCAGCGUCGAUGAUGUCAUUGCCAUCAUGGAUUUGCUGCGAUACCAGGUCGGUGCUCCCUUGGAUCUUCAGUUCAGCUUGCGGCCAAGCGGAAGAGAGCUACUUGUCUACUGCCGGGACCUCAAGGCCGAUGAAGGGAGACUAGACAUUUCCAACACCACAAGCUCCGAUGGCUUCAAAAUGUUCACCAUCAAUGUCGAGCGUCAUGGAGACCACUUCGCGGCCCUGCGGUCUCCUCACGAGGACAGAUCCAUGAUCUCAUCCUGUUUGCAGAAGGUCGCACACUUCGGCUCUGCGGUCAUGAUCUGUUCUGGCGAUGCCUGCGAAUACACUGGGUCUCUCAGGAUGAGGCUCCACGACAUGAUCCACGGCUUCUAUCUCAAAGUCUUCGCCAUGCUGCCCUCUAUGUGGCUCCACCUCAUCCCCCACAUCCUAUUCGCUGGCCACUGCUAUGGCCCCAUGGACCCUGUCUCCAACAUCAUCAUCAACUCCAUUUGCCACCACAUACUGCGCCCGCUCCCAUCGUCAGCUGACUACAAAGUAGAGGUGUAUGACAUCCUCGACACCCUCUCUAUGCUUCGUGUGGAGGUCCGUUCCUUGGAAGGCCUCACUGCCCUCGUCCGAGCAAGCUCCGAGUCCCAAUGCUCGACGCAGCGGGCGAUGGAGCACCUCUCCUGCAAACGCUGUGACCUGUCCCAGGAGACGCACACCUCGCUGCAGUUUACUGACGCAGCCGAAGCCGCUCGACACCCACAACAUGCUGAGCUGGGAUCAUUCUUCGCUUCCCUGGCGCCUGACAGGCUCAUUGACCUGCGGCUCUUGCUGGCCACUAGCGCCGAUGGCAGGAUCUCCUUUGAGUCUCUUGGGGAAAUAAUAUCCACUCUCAAACAAAGUGCACUGCUGUUGGUGGCUCCCGUAUCUUCCAAUGCGGCUGAACUGUGCAACGAGGCUAAGGAGACUCUGCUACAAAAGAGGUCAUGUUAUAACGAGAUGAAGUUAUUCAUCCGCGCUGAGCUUGCGCAAGUGCUGAAGAAAUAUGCCUUUGAGCAUCCUCUGGAACCAAAAUAUGAGCCAAGUGUUAUCUGUGGUUUGGUGGCGGCUCCCAGAUCCCUAGACAGGCUUUCCUAUCAUGUUAAUUUUGUGGCUGCUUCUGAAUCUGAUAACCAACUCUUCUUUGCCGAAAUAAAUGAGUCAUUUCCUGACCCGCCAAAACCAAAUUUCUGCUGCCCUCUACCCCUGACAUCUACUGGUCGUUGCUACUAUGGAGAGGGGUCUGCGAGGAAGAUUGUGUAUCCAGAUUCAUCAGAACUUCUUGAGUGUAAUAUUGAUAUUACAGACUAUGGAACGGUGCACGCGGAUGGAUUGUUGGACCCAGAUUUCAUCUUGGAUUUUAGGAGAGACGUGCAGUUUGCAGAGGAUCUGAGGAAGUACUGUGAAGAACAAAAGGCUGAUGAGUAUGAAUUAAUAUGA
RNAcentral lists this ribosomal RNA (2247 nucleotides) under Triticum aestivum (bread wheat). Its description in RNAcentral is "partial small subunit ribosomal RNA". Lineage: Eukaryota; Viridiplantae; Streptophyta; Magnoliopsida; Poales; Poaceae. The record is from RNAcentral.